Molecule: ribosomal RNA, 1494 nt
Filed under: uncultured bacterium
Lineage: Bacteria
Description: bacterial SSU rRNA
Rfam family: Bacterial small subunit ribosomal RNA
Source: RNAcentral
UAGAGUUUGAUCCUGGCUCAGAACUAACGCUGGUGGCGUGUCUUAGUCAUGCAAGUCGUACGCGAAAGCACCCUUCGGGGUGCAAGUAGAGUGGCGGACGGGUGAGUAACACGUGGGCAAUCUGCCUCUAGGUGGGGGACAACCCUUCUAACGAGGGGCUAAUACCGCAUGAUGCCUCGGUUUCGAAUGAAGCCGAGGUUAAAGGUGGCCUCUACCUGUAAGCUGUCGCCUAGAGAGGAGCCCGCGCUCCAUUAGCUUGUUGGUGAGGUAAUGGCUCACCAAGGCUAUGACGCCUAACUGGUUUGAGAGGAUGAUCAGUCACACUGGAACUGAGACACGGUCCAGACUCCUACGGGAGGCAGCAGUGGGGAAUAUUGCACAAUGGACGAAAGUCUGAUGCAGCAACGCCGCGUGGAGGAUGACACAUUUCGGUGCGUAAACUCCUUUUAUAUGAGAAGAAAAUGACGGUAUCAUAUGAAUAAGCGCCGGCUAACUCCGUGCCAGCAGCCGCGGUAAUACGGAGGGCGCAAGCGUUACUCGGAAUCACUGGGCGUAAAGAGCGUGUAGGCGGGUAUUUAAGUUGGAAGUGAAAUCCUAUGGCUCAACCAUAGAACUGCUUCCAAAACUGAAUACCUAGAAUAUGGGAGAGGUAGAUGGAAUUUCUGGUGUAAGGGGUAAAAUCCGUAGAGAUCAGAAGGAAUACCGAUUGCGAAGGCGAUCUACUGGAACAUUAUUGACGCUGAGACGCGAAAGCGUGGGGAGCAAAACAGGAUUAGAUACCCUGGUAGUCCACGCCCUAAACGAUGUACAUUAGUUGUUGCGAUGCUAGACAUUGCAGUAAUGCAGUUAACACAUUAAAUGUACCGCCUGGGGAGUACGGUCGCAAGAUUAAAACUCAAAGGAAUAGACGGGGACCCGCACAAGCGGUGGAGCAUGUGGUUUAAUUCGACGAUACGCGAAGAACCUUACCUGGCCUUGACAUAGAAAGAAUUUAGCAGAGAUGUAAAAGUGCUAGUUUACUAGAGCUUUCAUACAGGUGCUGCACGGCUGUCGUCAGCUCGUGUCGUGAGAUGUUAGGUUAAGUCCUGCAACGAGCGCAACCCUCGUGUUUAGUUACUAACAGUUCGGCUGAGGACUCUAGACAUACUGCCUGGGCAACCAGGAGGAAGGUGAGGACGACGUCAAGUCAUCAUGGCCCUUACGGCCAGGGCUACACACGUGCUACAAUGGGGUAUACAAAGAGCCGCAAUACCGCGAGGUGGAGCAAAUCUCAUAAAAUAUCUCCCAGUUCGGAUUACACUCUGCAACUCGAGUGUAUGAAGUUGGAAUCGCUAGUAAUCGUAGAUCAGCAAUGCUACGGUGAAUACGUUCCCGGGUCUUGUACUCACCGCCCGUCACACCAUGGGAGUUGAAUUCAUUCGAAGCGGGGAUGCUAAAAUAGCUACCUUCCACAGUGGAUUUAGUAACUAGGGUGAAGUCGUAACAAGGUAACCA